AUGCCUACGAGCGCCUCCUGCUGGACGUGGUGUGCGGGAACCAAAUGCACUUCGUGCGCAGGUGGGGGCGGGGGGGGUUGGGGUGGGGGCUCUGUGGGGUCUGGGGGGGGUCCUAUGGGUCUGGGGGGUCCCUGUGUGUCCCUAUGGGGUCUCAAUGGGGUCCCUGUGUCCCUAUGUGUCCCUGUGGGGUCCCUAUGGGGUCUCUGUGUGUCCCUCUGUCCCUAUGUGUCCCAAUGGGGUCUCUAUGGGGUCCCCGUGUGUCCCUGUGUCCCUAUGGGGUCUCAAUGGGGUCCCUGUGUCCCUGUGGGUCCCAAUGGGGUCCCUAUGGGGUCCCUAUGGGGUCUCUAUGGGGUCUCUAUGUGUCCCUGUGUGUUUGUAUGGGGUCCCUGUGUCCCUGUGUGUCCCUAUGGGGUCCCUAUGGGGUCCCUGUGUGUCCCUGUGUCCCUAUGGGGUCUCUAUGGCGUCCCUGUGUCCCUAUGGGGUCUCAAUGGGGUCCCCGUGUGUCCCUAUGGGUCCCAAUGGGGUCCCUAUGGGGUCUCUAUGGGGUCUCUAUGUGUCCCUGUGUGUCCCUCUGUCCCUGUGUGUCCCUAUGGGGUCCCCGUGUGUCCCUGUGUCCCUAUGGGGUCUCUAUGGCGUCCCUGUGUCCCUGUGUGUCCCUAUGUGUCCCUAUGGGGUCCCUAUGGGGUCUCUGUGUGUCCCUGUGUCCCUAUGGGGUCUCAACGGGGUCCCUGUGUCCCUAUGGGUCCCAAUGGGGUCCCUAUGGGGUCCCUGUGUGUCCCUGUGUCUCUAUGGGGUCUCUAUGGGGUCUCUAUGUGUCCCUGUGUGUCCCUCUGUCCCCGUGUGUCCCUAUGGGGUCCCCAUGUGUCCCUGUGUCCCUGUGGGGUCUCAAUGGCAUCCCUGUGUCCCUGUGUGUCCCUAUGGGGUCCCUGUGUCCCUAUGGGGUCCCUAUGGGAUCUCUAUGGGGUCUCAAUGGGGUCCCCCUGUGUCCCUGUGUGUCCCUAUGGGGUCCCUAUGUGUCCCCGUGUCCCUGUGUGUCCCUGUGUCCCUAUGGGGUCCCUCUGGGGUCUCUAUAUGUUCCUAUAGGAUCUCCAUGGGGUCUCAGUGGGGUCCCUGUGUGUCCCUAUGGGGUCCCUGUGUCCCUGUGUGUCCCUAUGGGGUCCCUGUGUCCCUAUGGGGUCCCUGUGUGUCCCUCUGUCCCCGUGUCCCUCUGGGGUCUCAAUGGNNNNNNNNNNNNNNNNNNNNNNNNNNNNNNNGUCUCUCUGGGGUCCCUAUGGGGUCCCUCUGGGGUCUCAAUGGGGUCUCAGUGGGGUCACUAUGGGGUCUCAAUGGGGUCCCUGUGUGUCUCAAUGGGGUCUCAAUGGGGUCCCUGUGUAUCCCUAUGGGGUCCCUCUGGGGUCGCUCUGGGGUCUCAAUGGGGUUGCUAUGGGGUCUCAAUGGGGUCCCUAUGGUGUCGCUCUGGGGUCCCUCUGGGGUCCCUCUGGUGUCUCAAUGGGGUCUCAAUGGGGUCCCUGUGUAUCCCUAUGGGGUCUCAAUGGGGUCCCUAUGGGGUCGCUCUGGGGUCCCUCUGGGGUCCCUCUGGGUUCUCAGUGGGGUCGCUCUGGGGUCCCUAUGGGGUCUCAAUGGGGUCCCUGUGUGUCGCUCUGGGGUCCCUCUGGGGUCGCUCUGGGGUCCCUAUGGGGUCCCUAUGGGGUCCCUGUGUGUCUCAAUGG
Long non-coding RNA from Phasianus colchicus (ring-necked pheasant), 1709 nucleotides. Lineage: Eukaryota; Metazoa; Chordata; Aves; Galliformes; Phasianidae. The record is from Ensembl.